AUGCGAAAGGCGGCGGCGUUAGCUGCUGUGGCGGUGGUCGCGGCCGCAGCUGCCAUCGCCGUGCGCCAGAGGCUGCGGGAGGCGAAGCGGUGGGCGCGCGUGGCCGCCGUGCUGUCGGACCUGCAGGAGCGGUGCGUGGCGCCGGCGGCGCGGCUGCUGCAGGUGUCGGACGCGAUGGACGUUGAGAUGCGCGCGGGGCUCGCCUCCGAGGACGGGAGCAAGCUCAAGAUGCUCGUCACCUACGUUGACUCCCUCCCCUCCGGGGAUGAGAAAGGGCUAUUUUAUGCACUUGACCUCGGAGGAACAAACUUCCGUGUUUUACGAGUUCAAUUAGGGGGCAAGGAACAGCGAGUUAUCAAGCAAGAAUCUGUAGGGGUAUCCAUUCCGCAGCAUUUAAUGUCCAGAAGCUCGCAUGAACUAUUUGAUUUUAUCGCCGCUGCUUUAGCAAAGUUUGUUGCCUCUGAGGGUGAAGAUUAUCAUCUUCCGGAGGGCACUCAGAGAGAACUCGGUUUUACAUUCUCCUUUCCAGUGAAGCAAACUUCAAUUUCAUCCGGCACACUUAUCAAGUGGACAAAGGGUUUUGCAAUUGAGGAAAUGGUUGGCAAGGAUAUCGUGGCUGAAUUAAACGAGGCUAUAAAACGUCAAGGACUUGUUAUGAAAGUCUCAACAUUGGUGAAUGAUACCGUUGGGACUCUGGCUGCUGGGAGGUAUGUAGAUAAUGAUACUAUGGUUGCUGUAAUACUGGGAACUGGUACUAAUGCAGCAUACAUAGAGCAUGGAGAUGCCAUUCCUAAAUGGCAUGCUCCCCUGCCCAAGUCCGGAGAUAUGGUAAUAAACAUGGAGUGGGGAAAUUUCAAGUCCGCUCAUCUUCCACUCACUGAAUUUGAUCAAGCUUUGGAUGCAGAGAGUUUGAACCCCGGAGAACAGAUUUAUGAGAAGUUGACCUCUGGUAUGUAUAUGGGGGAAAUUGUCCGAAGAAUCUUGUUACAGAUGGCUCAAGAAGCUGCUCUCUUUGGUGACAAUAUACCUCCAAAACUAGAGACCCCAUACAUUCUAAAGUAUGUUGUUCCAGUUAUCCAUUACUUUAUCAUGCAAAAAAAAAAAUACUUCUCCUGA
Molecule: ribosomal RNA, 1116 nt
Filed under: Triticum aestivum (bread wheat)
Lineage: Eukaryota; Viridiplantae; Streptophyta; Magnoliopsida; Poales; Poaceae
Description: partial small subunit ribosomal RNA
Source: RNAcentral